This 2566-nucleotide long non-coding RNA is filed under the name Homo sapiens (human). RNAcentral's name for it is "PREDICTED lncRNA (TCONS_00234530)". Lineage: Eukaryota; Metazoa; Chordata; Mammalia; Primates; Hominidae. The record is from RNAcentral.
CGCAGGGCCCCCCCUCCACCGCGCCCUUAUAGACAUUAGCCCCCACGCCUGCGUACACGUUCCCCCAGAGCCCGCCACGCCCGCGUACACACUCCUGUGGAAUCCAUCACAUUGGUGUACACGCUCCGGCAGAGCCCGCCACACUCACCUAAACCCUAAAAAAUGGAGGGCCAAGAUUGUGGAUUAAACCAAAGUCUACAUUUCCUCUCUAAAAAAGGCCUAUUCAAGUCAAGGGAACUUUUUAAGGCUCAAGCUCAAGACCUGGAGACACAGCCACCUCCGGCAGGUGCGAAGGGCCAGCUAAGCCCGGGAGUGCUGGUGAGGCUCUGCCUGGAUGCCCCCCUCGCGCCACACCUAGGCCUCAGCGGCAUCUGGAGGCAGAGGAUUCGGAGCUCUUCCCCGGCACAGAGCUUGGAGCCAGGCAGGACGGACGACCCAGCCGAGGUCAAAGCAGGGACAUUUCUCUUCACCCGCCUGGCUAAAUAUCAGAACCACACUGUCGCUAUGAGCACAUUUUUAUAAAUAUUUGAGUUAAAUCGUUAUUAAAUUGCAUAUGAUUCAUUCCAUAAUUAUGGUUCAGUAGUUCUCAGUGAAUCAUUCAGUGAUUAAUAGUUUCUGGAUUUAAAAGAAAACUUUCAGGUACAAUCAGGAGAGCUACCCAAAAUAGAGACCCAGAAAACGCUAGGAAAUCAAGACCCUCCUCGCAGGGAGGACAGCCAGGUCCCCUGGCCUGCCCUGUAGGCAUGCCCAGAACAAACCCUUUUCCUGUGAGCAUGUGUCCCAGGUCACGUGCACGGACGCCACGGUGCCCCUCGCUGUCCCGAGUCACCUGCACGGACGCCACGGUGCCCCUCGCUGUCCCGAGUCACCUGCACGGACGCCACGGUGCCCCUCGCUGUCCCGAGUCACCUGCACGACGCCACGGUGCCCCUCGCUGUCCUGGGUCACCUGCACGACGCCACAGUGCCCCUCGCUGUCCUAAUCCACCUGCACGGUACCGCGGUCUUCAGCUGGGUGCCAAGAAUGUCCCUCCACUACAGCUUCUCCAGUUUCUUCUCUACACAGAGAUUAUGAUGGCACCUUUCCCAUGUGAGAAUAGACCAAUGCAGUUUUCUGCAGAAAUUGGGGAAAACAGUAAUUAUAUUUUACAACAAUAACUGGGAAGGACGGUCUGGUGGAUAACGUGUUUUACACCAGCUUCGAGGUUUGAUCUACAGAGAUGGCAUUUUGUGGGAGCAAGCCAGGCCCCGCUUACAGCCCUGAGCUGUCUGGGGCCACAGUCACUUUCCACAGGCAGGCAUGAGUUCUCCACCCUGAAGCGGGCUGCUGCCCAGUGACCUGGAGCGACGCAGAGGUGCUCCUUGUCCACACUUCGACCCAAGACCGGCCGCUGCUCCCCACCUCAGACCUUGUCCUCUGUCCACAGUCAUGUUGCCUGCCUUUCCCUGGAGCCGACUGCCUUGGCCACCCGUGGCUUUGUGAUGGGCGUGUUCUGUGAGGAGGACGUCAACUUCCUGCCCGUCUUGACCCCCUCUUCUGUGAAAGGAGACCUGUUGCAGGCCGGCGGAAGCGGGUGAAUCACACUCGUCCAGCCCCGAGGCAGGGCCACAUCCUCAGACCCAUCAUGAGUGGAUCCGUUGCCGUGGCUGUUUCCGGCAGCUCGCUGUGUGUGUCCCAGCAACUGCUUUGAGCAUUUUCCUUACAUCGAAACUUACUUCAUCAAAAAAUAAAAUAAAAUAAUGACUGUGAGGUCGAUAACAUCGUUACCGCUUUGGGGAUGAGAAAAUGCAUGCCCAGCUCACGUGGAGAGGCCAGACUCAGCCCUCUGACUCCAGCAGCCACAGGCCUAGCUGCCUCCCAGCAGUGGGCAGGGGACCUACUGGUGGAACUUACUGGCUCAGGCCACUCCAGGAAAGGAGGUGGGGGGCCGGGAGGUGGGGAGCUCGCCCAGGGCCUUGGGUUCAGCACGAUGGAAGGUCUUCUAGAACCAGGUCCCCUCCUGCCCACGGUGCAGAGCUGCUGGGCCGGGUAUGCAGGGAAUGGUGGUGAGGGGCCCAUGAAGGAACGCCUAGAGAGAGACCCAGCCAUGAAGGGCCAGCGGCCAAGAGCUCCCCACUGCCCCCGCCCUGGCAGGCUGUGCACCGCGGGCCUGAGAACAGCCUUCCUUUCACCAGGCUCCGUGCACGUCUGGUGUUUGGAUUCCACGCCUGAGGAAACGUGUGGGUGACCAUCUGGCUGCGCGGACGCCUGCAGGGCCAGGGACGGGCCGCCCCUCCUUCCCAAGGGCAAACAGCCUCGGGACGGCGACGGGACAAGCUCUGCUAAGUAGUCAGCCACAAAUUUGUUUUCUUUGAAGGAAAUAAAGAACAAUUUUUCUAUUGUAUAAAACCAAAAAUGUAGCACUUAAUUCCAGUCUGAUUCACUCUGUGAGCAAACUUAGUUCCCACACUGACCUCGGUCUCAGGGAGUGAAGUGAGGACUCCCUCCACCUCCUGAAGAAUCUCAGAGAAGCUGUGGACCUUCCCGCCACUCCUGGGCCAUUCGCCCCUGGAGGCCUAGGUUCCCA